AUGAACGCUGGCGGCGUGCCUAAUACAUGCAAGUCGAGCGAACGGACGAGAAGCUUGCUUCUCUGAUGUUAGCGGCGGACGGGUGAGUAACACGUGGAUAACCUACCUAUAAGACUGGGAUAACUUCGGGAAACCGGAGCUAAUGCCGGAUAAUAUUUUGAACCGCAUGGUUCAAAAGUGAAAGACGGUCUUGCUGUCACUUAUAGAUGGAUCCGCGCUGCAUUAGCUAGUUGGUAAGGUAACGGCUUACCAAGGCAACGAUGCAUAGCCGACCUGAGAGGGUGAUCGGCCACACUGGAACUGAGACACGGUCCAGACUCCUACGGGAGGCAGCAGUAGGGAAUCUUCCGCAAUGGGCGAAAGCCUGACGGAGCAACGCCGCGUGAGUGAUGAAGGUCUUCGGAUCGUAAAACUCUGUUAUUAGGGAAGAACAUAUGUGUAAGUAACUGUGCACAUCUUGACGGUACCUAAUCAGAAAGCCACGGCUAACUACGU
RNAcentral lists this ribosomal RNA (495 nucleotides) under uncultured bacterium. Its description in RNAcentral is "partial 16S ribosomal RNA". It matches the Rfam family "Bacterial small subunit ribosomal RNA", at positions 29 to 506 of the family's 1533-position model. The record is from RNAcentral.